AGUGCGUCCGCCUCCCAUGCCGGAGACCCGGGUUCGAGUCCCGCUCGGAGCGAGUCGUUGCUGCUGCUGCUCUCGUUCAGUUUCAGCCUCGGGAUCUGAUUCUGGAUCAUAAAUAAACGGCUGAAUCUGACUGUUAGCCAUGGUUUGUUUUGGAUGAUGUUUUUUCCUCAAGGUAAUGUCACAGCUUCCAAACGCUCUCAACGCAAAAGCCUACUGAGGCUCGUGAUUCUUUAGCUCUGCCCACACAUCACGCCUCCGUCAGUCAUGUUUUUCCAGGGAAAAUCGGUACAGACUAUCUUUCUCUUACGAAUAUAAUAAAACUAAAGACUUUUUGGAGUUAUGAAGGAUGCAGUACUACUCUAUAGGUACUCAAGAUUAACAGGAUAUUGAGUGAAAAUGAGCAUUUCACCCCCCCCCCCCCCUUAAGGAAAUGUAUUAUUACCUUUCCCUUGGCAUCAUAAAGUAAAUCAUUCUAAACUUUUGUUUAAAAUGGAAUAAAAGUUUAUUAGACACAACUAACAUAAAGACCACAUGUAGUUUCAGCUCGAUUUUAUCAUAUUUCAUUUGAUUUGUCAUUAUUUGUGAUACACUGCUUUGUUUAAUUCAUAGUUUGCAGAGAAAGACUUGGAGAGGAUUUGUUUAAACAGUGACUGACUAUCUGUAACAAGUGAUUUUGAUGCUGUUUUCAAAAAGCCAGAGAUAAAGUUUGAAUUAAAAUUUUGAAAAAUAUGCUCGAUGUGAAAUCUCUCUCUUUCUUCCAGAGGUACAGGAAUGGAUGGAUGCUGGGACUCUCGGCAGCUACAACAAAUUCAACAACGACUGUUACAAGUGUGUCCUUCCUCUCACAAAGUCUCUUACACAUAAGUUUGAAAACAAUGAUGACUGUAUUCACUUUCAUGUCACUUUUUACAGUAAUGUCUUUUUUGGAAUGAUUCAUUUACAUUAUUUGGCAAAUCCUUUUAUCUAAAACGAUGUACAUUGCAUUAAAGGUACACAUUAUUCAUGUAUCCACUGGGAAUCAAACCCAUGAUACUGAUGUUACUAGUGCAGUCUAAUGAUGCUUGUUUAUCUAGUGUAGUUGUUUAUGUACUAUUGUAUUCUUUUAUUAUUAAGAAUUUGAAACUUUUAUUUUUAUAUUUUCAAUUUUAAUUUAGUUAUUUUUUUGUUUUCACCAUUAUUCUAAUUUUGUAUUAAAAAAAAAAAACAUUUCAAAAUAGUUUAUAUAUUUAUAUAUUACUUUUAUUUUGUUUCAUUUUAGUACAUCAACUUAAACUUAUGUAAUUAGUAACCACCGAAACAACACAUGUGCCUCAGUUCCCCUUUAGGAACUCGAGCUGUGUCCAACUCUUUGGGAACAACUUGUCGAGACAUGGUACUGAAGCAUGUGUGAAAUCAGUCCAACAGUGAAGCAAAAUGUCAAGAACAGGGUGACGUGAGCGACGAGAAAGCAUAAA
RNAcentral lists this long non-coding RNA (1454 nucleotides) under Carassius auratus (goldfish). RNAcentral describes it as "lncRNA (ENSCARG00000018199.1)". The record is from RNAcentral. Lineage: Eukaryota; Metazoa; Chordata; Actinopteri; Cypriniformes; Cyprinidae.